AUUGAACGCUGGCGGCAGGCCUAACACAUGCAAGUCGAACGGUAACAGGAAGAAGCUUGCUUCUUUGCUGACGAGUGGCGGACGGGUGAGUAAUGUCUGGGAAACUGCCUGAUGGAGGGGGAUAACUACUGGAAACGGUAGCUAAUACCGCAUAACGUCGCAAGACCAAAGAGGGGGACCUUCGGGCCUCUUGCCAUCGGAUGUGCCCAGAUGGGAUUAGCUAGUAGGUGGGGUAACGGCUCACCUAGGCGACGAUCCCUAGCUGGUCUGAGAGGAUGACCAGCCACACUGGAACUGAGACACGGUCCAGACUCCUACGGGAGGCAGCAGUGGGGAAUAUUGCACAAUGGGCGCAAGCCUGAUGCAGCCAUGCCGCGUGUAUGAAGAAGGCCUUCGGGUUGUAAAGUACUUUCAGCGGGGAGGAAGGGAGUAAAGUUAAUACCUUUGCUCAUUGACGUUACCCGCAGAAGAAGCUCCGGCUAACUCCGUG
RNAcentral lists this ribosomal RNA (490 nucleotides) under uncultured bacterium. RNAcentral describes it as "partial 16S ribosomal RNA". It matches the Rfam family "Bacterial small subunit ribosomal RNA", at positions 30 to 507 of the family's 1533-position model. The record is from RNAcentral.